UACAGGGACUGCAAGCGUUAUUCGGAUUCACUGGGCGUAAAGGGUGCGCAGGCGGCCAAGUGUGUUAGGCGUGAAAGCCCGGGGCUUAACCCCGGAAUUGCACCUAAAACUACAUGGCUAGAGCAUUGGAGAGGGUAGCGGAAUUCACGGUGUAGCAGUGAAAUGCGUAGAUAUCGUGAGGAACACCAGAGGCGAAGGCGGCUACCUGGACAAUUGCUGACGCUCAGGCACGAAAGCGUGGGGAGCAAAAGGG
Molecule: ribosomal RNA, 253 nt
Filed under: uncultured bacterium
Lineage: Bacteria
Description: partial 16S ribosomal RNA
Rfam family: Bacterial small subunit ribosomal RNA
Source: RNAcentral